RNAcentral lists this ribosomal RNA (302 nucleotides) under uncultured Cortinarius. Its description in RNAcentral is "eukaryotic LSU rRNA". The stretch from base 1 to 52 matches the Rfam family "5.8S ribosomal RNA", at positions 103 to 154 of the family's 154-position model. Lineage: Eukaryota; Fungi; Basidiomycota; Agaricomycetes; Agaricales; Cortinariaceae. The record is from RNAcentral.
AACGCACCUUGCGCUCCUUGGUAUUCCGAGGAGCAUGCCUGUUUGAGUGUCAUUAAUAUAUCAACUCCUUCAGCUUUUGUGGUUGUUGAGUGUUGGAUUGUGGGGGUUUUGCUGGCCUUUCAGAAGGCGCAGCUCUCCUGAAAUGUAUUAGCAGAACAAUUUGUUGAAUCGUUCAUUGGUGUGAUAAACUAUCUACGCUAUUGACCGUGAAGCAAGUUCAGCUUCUAACAGUCCAUUGAUUUGGACAAAUUUUAUUUAUUUAAUGUGACCUCAAAUCAGGUAGGACUACCCGCUGAACUUAA